Molecule: long non-coding RNA, 201 nt
Filed under: Elaeis guineensis (African oil palm)
Lineage: Eukaryota; Viridiplantae; Streptophyta; Magnoliopsida; Arecales; Arecaceae
Description: long non-coding RNA (EGUI_LNC054064)
Source: RNAcentral
ACAAACCAGCAGGAAUACACCCAUCGUGUAUGCAAUCCACCGGUAUUUGGUUUCAAACACGAGAGAGACAAGAGAAGUGAAAGCCAAAGAAGUUGACAAGUAAGUGAUAGCUUGAACAAGCUGUGGCAGCCUUGAUCGACGACGGCGAUAGAAAAGAACCAUGCUAGCAAUCAUACUACAAAAAGAUAUGAAAGUAGAGGG